This is a long non-coding RNA of Chlorocebus sabaeus (green monkey), 2740 nucleotides long. RefSeq lists it as uncharacterized. The record is from RefSeq and is a predicted model, not a curated record. Lineage: Eukaryota; Metazoa; Chordata; Mammalia; Primates; Cercopithecidae.
UGUCCUUUCCAGUUAUAGCUAAACCACCAGGGUCAAAUUUUAUUUUGCACUCAAGAUCCAGAGAUGAAUACUAUUGCAAAGCCAGGAAUAUCCAGAGAGAAAGUGCUCCACCCUCUGAAUCAUGUGCAAUUCAGAAGGGAAGCACAAUGAGGGAGUAGUUCUAAGAGGGAGUAUUGAUCGGACUGCUUAGGUUCUCAUCCCAGCUUCAACAUUUACCAGCUCUAAGAUCUGCAAAGGGUGAAAAAUUAAGCCAUGCGUUUCUAUUAGCUGAACAGCACAAUUGGUUUGCAAGGCUAGAUGACCAAUACCAGGUCAGAUGAGGGCACUGAUGAAAAAGAACACAGAGCAGGCAGAACAACAAGGCCGAGAGUCCACACUGGAGAUGGAGAAGCAGGAUGUUUUAAGGAAAUGACCUUGAUGCAAUGGUAACCUUCCAGUGUACAACCAGGAGAACUAUCCCAGAGGUCACAGAAUAGAAAGGUUCAGAGACUAAACUGAAAUUGUCAAAGCUGAUGGUUAAUCGAAUCAAUGUAAAACAGAGUGAGACUCAAGAAGAAAGAUAUGGUGUGGUGAAGACACCAGAGAGGGUAGAGGGUUAAAAGAACCAUGCUAUGUGAGUUCUGCAUCACACUAUGUUUCUAGGUCUUAUCUCUCUCUCCACCUUAUCAGCUCUCUCUAUUGUCUGCAUGAUUACAAGCACUAGGGUUGAUUAUGAGCAAGGGACUCAGCAGAUGGGUAGUGCCUGGAGUCAACACUUGCGCUGUAGAAGAGACACAGGGGCAAGUCAGCUUGGUCUCAGCUUCCACAUUAACUUACUGAGCAGCUGUGGAUUCUAUCUGCACAUCUCAGGCAGAGGAUACCUGGCCAGAAUGGAUGUCACUAGUGAGUUGAGGCAAUUUAAACUCUCAUGCCUAUUCAGUGUCCCAUGAAUAUUACAUUUGGCCUCUCUCUUAACUCAUCAACUUUUAACAGACCAUGAAUUUUUGCUGCCUUUGGUCUUUCCAUCCCCACCUUUGUUUAACACACUGAUGUGCUUCUUUCUCUCCCUGUAUCUGAUGUAGUUCACAGGUCAUUAACUUGCUAUCUAUGCUUAAUACCUACUAUGAGCUUCUGUGUCUCACAAGCUCCUUUUAUACUUACUAUUUAUAUUUAGUAUUUCUUGAGAGUUGUAUCAAUUAUAUUUGCUUUUCUUGUCUUUUACAAAAUAAUUGAAUAUUCUUAAAUAACACAACAGACACCCCUUACAAGGAGGAGGGUAUGAACAGAGAAAGAGAGCUUGGGAAUAUGCAGAGGGUGGACUUCUGUGUGUUUGUGGAAAUUAGUUCCAUAAUAUGGAAUUGCCCUCUGGGAGCUGACAAGGAAUGGACAAAGUAUUCCUCUUCCCUCUGGGUCCUUCCCAUAUUCCCUCUCAGUCUUAACAUUCUGGACUGUGUCUAUUGGUUUGCAUGGAUGAUUUAUAGCCAGGCACCGAAGAAUACUCUCUACAUAGCUGUAUACUUAGAAACAGCCCUUUUUAUACACUGUAUUAUGCUGUUCAUUCCUGUACCAUUACAUCUUUCCCUAGAACUAAUAAAUGAUUUACUUUGCAUCCACAAGGCUUAACUAGAAAAGCAUACCAAAAAUCAGAGUGUCCAAGUAUUGAAGAAAGGGAAAUACAGACUUUCCCAGGCAGAUGACUCCUAAAUUGUUCAAGAUAGAAUUCAGACACAGUAUUUUGAUUGUGAGUAAGAUUAAACUGGAAUUCAUCAAGUAUCCUAGCCUAUAAUUCCUAUAACAACUCAUUUAUGUUUUCUGUUCAAGCCAUACAUUUGAUUCUGACCGUUCAACCCUGUAAAUUCCAGCUGAACUUUAGCUAAGUUCUAAUAUAAGAGAGAAAAAUCCCCACUAUUACUUACAGUAUAAGACUUUCUUCUUUGUUUUUCAUCUUGGAUCGUGGAAAUCACCAAAGUUUUACUGUUGUGUCUUAAGAUUCUGAUCCGAGGGGGUGGGUAAGUGCUAAUCCAAUAUAUUUGGUAAUUUCUAUUUUACCAGGCAGUUACUCUGUAGGAUGUCUGCCACACUAAGACAAAUACAUUUUAAAAAUAAAUAUUUUGCAAUUUGAAUUUUCUUAUCCAGGUAACUUAAUAAUCAUCUAAAACUGUUAUUAAGGCCAAAAGCUGAAGAUGUCCAGAUGCAUAACUAACAAAAUACUUCCAUGAAAACAGAUGCCAGUUUCAUCACAGGAAAUCCUGACUGCCAAAACUGCACUGUUUAGAGUCACAUACUGUUUUAAUUCUAAAAGUUGGUUUUAACCAAGGUGUAUUUUAUGCUUAAUUUUUAAUGGGAACCAGUUUUCUAUAUUUUAGAUACAUUUUUCUAUUUAGAGAAAUUAUGAGAAAGAUUAUGAGGAAAUAUUCAAAGUUUUUAAAAAUUAAAGUUUAUUUUUUAUGAUUAUUUGAUAAUGAAACUGGUUGUGUAAAGUGAUGCAAAACAGUGCUAAAUUGAUGUUAAUGUGUUUUUGUAAGCAUAUAUUUGUAUACUGAAUAAAAUAGCACUUUUCCUUGAAUAUAUCUGGGGUGGGAAAUUACAAGAGUGAAGAUUUCAAUGCAAAGAAUAAGUAUAUACAAGAUAGUAUAUAUAGUUAAAUUCAGAAAUGUCAAAUAGGUUUUAUUUUUGUAUCCCAUAUAGUAAAAAAGCUUAGCAAAGUGGCUCAUACAAGGUGCUACUGUGCAUUUGUUGAAUAAAUAAAUGUAACAUUUUA